Molecule: long non-coding RNA, 1352 nt
Filed under: Gossypium barbadense (sea-island cotton)
Lineage: Eukaryota; Viridiplantae; Streptophyta; Magnoliopsida; Malvales; Malvaceae
Description: long non-coding RNA (GBAR_LNC017640)
Source: RNAcentral
AGAAACCCCCCAAAAAAAGUUUAACAUUAUUUUUUUUUUAAAAAACACAGAGAGUCCCCAUGGCCCCUCUCUCGCGCAGUCCCCUCUUCCGACUUAGGGCUCCUCCGACGUUCAACUACGCCGUCGUCGACUUACGACCGGCGACACGAUGGGAUGGGCUUUGCAGCCCCGUUUAACGGCGUCCUUGAGAGCCAAGACUCUCUCCACCCAUGGGAGUCGAAAACAAGGGAGGUUCUCGGCCUCUUGGACCCGAUUUGGACGACGGAGGAGAGACCCUCCGACGACGGAACCAAGGCCACUUCCAGUGAGUUCCCUCUCCCUUUAUUUUGAUUUUGAUUUUUUUUAUUAUAGUUAUUAAAAAAUAGAUUUGCAAAAGAAGAAAAAAUGUAAGAUAAAACAAGUAAACAAAUAAAAAAAGGAAAACGAAGAGGAAAUAACAAGGAUCCAAUCUUUCAAAAUUUCUGUGUUUCUUUCUGAUUUUUUCUGUUCAUCCAAACGAAGAAGCCGAUACAUGAGCAGUGCUUGGGGUUUUUUAUAACCCGAUUACCAAUGCUUUUAUCUCUAUUUUGUUUUUUUACAUUAUUUUUUCUUUGUUGUUGCGUCUACUUGUUGGCUUUGCAGGUGCCUGUGGCUGACAGUGGUGGCAGAAGCGUGCGAGUGGAGGCGUGGGCUGGAGGCGUGGCAGACGAGGGCGUGGCAGACGAGGGGGCCACGCAUGGAAGCUUGCGACGGCUAGCUUGGGGAAGCAAACUAAGGUUUGCUGAAAAUGGGGUUAAUCUUGGGCUAGGGUUAUGUUUGUUUUGGGUUUAGGGUUAAUUUUGGGUAGUUUGGACCAUAUGAAAUUUGGGCUGCAAUUUAGACUUUAUUUCAUGUAUUUGGUUUAUGUUUUAUUUUUAUUUUGUUUUUGUUUUGGCACUGGGCCAGGGCAAAAUGGGCUCGUACACCCUCCAUGGGUUCUGAUCUCAUCUCCCACCAGUUGAAGAUUCUCCUCCAAAAUCCUUUAACGAAUUUACAUUUAAAGAACAAAUGAUUCACUCUUUCCAACUCUUUAUCGCACCAUGGACAUUCCUUCGCUUCACCUUUCCAAAAAACUCUAUUGUGGGAAGUCUUCCUAAUGCCAGCAUCCAAAGAAAAACUUCUUACCCUGGGUGGCACCUUCAUCUUCCAAAUUUUAUCGAAAUCAAAACUUAAAUCCUCCACCCCCUUCUCCAUCAAUAAAUCUGACAUUCUCUUUACCAAAAAAUCUCCCUUAUUAUCAUGUAGCCAUAUCAAUCAGUCCUCCUUCUCAUGAGCUAACUUUACUUUUGUUACCUCCUCAACCAUUUUCUCAAGCAUAUCCACCUCUGUCAAGC